Molecule: ribosomal RNA, 401 nt
Filed under: bacterium
Lineage: Bacteria
Description: partial 16S ribosomal RNA
Rfam family: Bacterial small subunit ribosomal RNA
Source: RNAcentral
UGGGGAAUUUUGCACAAUGGGGGAAACCCUGAUGCAGCGACGCCGCGUGAUUUAGAAGGCCUUCGGGUUGUAAAAAUCUUUUCUAUGGGAAGAAAAUGACAGUACCAUAGGAAUAAGGACCGGCUAAUUACGUGCCAGCAGCCGCGGUAUACGUAAGGUCCGAGCGUUGUCCGGAAUCAUUGGGCGUAAAGGGUACGUAGGCGGGUAAGCAAGUUAGAAGUGAAAUCCUAUAGCUCAACUAUAGUAAGCUUUUAAAACUGCUCAUCUUGAGGUAUGGAAGGGAAAGUGGAAUUCCUAGUGUAGCGGUGAAAUGCGCAGAUAUUAGGAGGAGUACCGGUGGCGAAGGCGACUUUCUGGCCAUAACCUGACGCUGAGGUACGAAAGCGUGGGUAGCAAACAGG